UUGAACGCUGGCGGCAUGCUUUACACAUGCAAGUCGAGCGGCAGCGCGGGGGCAACCCUGGCGGCGAGCGGCGAACGGGUGAGUAAUACAUCGGAACGUACCCAGUUGUGGGGGAUAGCCCGGCGAAAGCCGGAUUAAUACCGCAUAAGUCCUGAGGGAGAAAGCGGGGGACCGUAAGGCCUCGCGCGAUUGGAGCGGCCGAUGUUCGAUUAGCUAGUUGGUGGGGUAAAGGCCUACCAAGGCGACGAUCGAUAGCGGGUCUGAGAGGACGACCAGCCACACUGGAACUGAGACACGGUCCAGACUCCUACGGGAGGCAGCAGUGGGGAAUUUUGGACAAUGGGGGCAACCCUGAUCCAGCCAUGCCGCGUGAGUGAAGAAGGCCUUCGGGUUGUAAAACUCUUUCGGCAGGAACGAAACGGUGAGCUCUAACAUAGCUUGCUAAUGACGGUACCUGAAGAAGAAGCACCGGCUAACUACGU
RNAcentral lists this ribosomal RNA (482 nucleotides) under uncultured bacterium. RNAcentral's name for it is "bacterial SSU rRNA". It matches the Rfam family "Bacterial small subunit ribosomal RNA", at positions 29 to 506 of the family's 1533-position model. The record is from RNAcentral.